GACGAACGCUGGCGGCGUGCUUAACACAUGCAAGUCGAACGGAAAGGCCCCUUUGGGGGUACUCGAGUGGCGAACGGGUGAGUAACACGUGAGUAACCUGCCCUUGACUUCGGGAUAACUUCAGGAAACUGGGGCUAAUACCGGAUAGGAAUCCUUGCUGCAUGGUGGGGGUUGGAAAGCUUCGGCGGUUUUGGAUGGACUCGCGGCUUAUCAGCUUGUUGGUGGGGUAGUGGCUUACCAAGGCUUUGACGGGUAGCCGGCCUGAGAGGGCGACCGGCCACAUUGGGACUGAGAUACGGCACAGACUCCUACGGGAGGCAGCAGUGGGGAAUAUUGCACAAUGGGCGGAAGCCUGAUGCAGCAACGCCGCGUGCGGGAUGACGGCCUUCGGGUUGUAAACCGCUUUCAGCAGGGGCGAAGCUUGUGGUGACGGUACCUGCAGAAGAAGCACCGGCUAACUACGUG
Molecule: ribosomal RNA, 465 nt
Filed under: uncultured bacterium
Lineage: Bacteria
Description: partial 16S ribosomal RNA
Rfam family: Bacterial small subunit ribosomal RNA
Source: RNAcentral